AUCCAACUGAUGAGUCCUAAAUAAGACGGAGCACGUGUCCAGGAU
RNAcentral lists this non-coding RNA (45 nucleotides) under Schistosoma mansoni. The record is from RNAcentral. Lineage: Eukaryota; Metazoa; Platyhelminthes; Trematoda; Strigeidida; Schistosomatidae.